GACGAACGCUGGCGGCGUGCUUAACACAUGCAAGUCGAACGGAAAGGCCCUGCUUUUGUGGGGUGCUCGAGUGGCGAACGGGUGAGUAACACGUGAGUAACCUGCCCUUGACUUUGGGAUAACUUCAGGAACCUGGGGCUAAUACCGGAUAGGAGCUCCUGCUGCAUGGUGGGGGUUGGAAAGUUUCGGCGGUUGGGGAUGGACUCGCGGCUUAUCAGCUGGUUGGUGGGGUAGUGGCUUACCAGGGCUUUGACGGGUAGCCGGCCUGAGAGGGUGACCGGCCACAUUGGGACGGAGAUGCGGCCCAGACUCCUACGGGAGGCAGCAGUGGGGAAUAUUGCACAAUGGGCGGAAGCCGGAUGCAGCAACGCCGCGUGCGGGAUGACGGCCUUCGGGUUGUAGACCGCUUUCGCCUGUGACGAAGCGUGAGUGACGGUAAUGGGUAAAGAAGCACCGGCUAACUACGUG
Molecule: ribosomal RNA, 468 nt
Filed under: uncultured bacterium
Lineage: Bacteria
Description: partial 16S ribosomal RNA
Rfam family: Bacterial small subunit ribosomal RNA
Source: RNAcentral